GACGAACGCUGGCGGCGUGCUUAAUACAUGCAAGUCGAACGGACCGAUUCCGGUAGUUUACUAUUGGGAAUGGUAGGGGCCGGACGGGUAAGAAAGGGGUGGCCAACCUCCCCUAAGGGCGGGAUUACCGGAGCGAAGUUCUUCUAAAAGCGGAUAAUUUUAACCUGGCGGAUGGGUGGUUAAAGAAAGGGAACGGUUAAGGAUUAGCCCGCGUCCCAUUAGCUAGUUGGUGAGGUAACGGCCCACCAAGGCAACGAUGGGUAGCCGGCCUGAGAGGGUGGGCGGCCACACUGGGACUGAGACACGGCCCAGACUCCUACGGGAAGCAGCAGUAGGGAAUUUUCGGCAAUGGGCGAAAGCCUGACCGAGCAACGCCGCGUGAGGGACGAAGGUCUUCGGAUCGUAAACCUUUGUCAUCGAGGACGAUAAUGACGGUACUCGAGGAGGAAGCCCCGGCUAACUACGUG
This 467-nucleotide ribosomal RNA is filed under the name uncultured bacterium. RNAcentral's name for it is "partial 16S ribosomal RNA". It matches the Rfam family "Bacterial small subunit ribosomal RNA", at positions 28 to 507 of the family's 1533-position model. The record is from RNAcentral.